AACUCUGGUAUCUGAUUGGUGCUUGCAUCAUGAUUUACAUUUGAGUGAGUGGCGAACUGGUGAGUAACACGUGGGAAACCUGCCCAGAAGCGGGGGAUAACACCUGGAAACAGAUGCUAAUACCGCAUAACAACUUGGACCGCAUGGUCCGAGUUUGAAAGAUGGCUUCGGCUAUCACUUUUGGAUGGUCCCGCGGCGUAUUAGCUAGAUGGUGGGGUAACGGCUCACCAUGGCAAUGAUACGUAGCCGACCUGAGAGGGUAAUCGGCCACAUUGGGACUGAGACACGGCCCAAACUCCUACGGGAGGCAGCAGUAGGGAAUCUUCCACAAUGGACGAAAGUCUGAUGGAGCAACGCCGCGUGAGUGAAGAAGGGUUUCGGCUCGUAAAACUCUGUUGUUAAAGAAGAACAUAUCUGAGAGUAACUGUUCAGGUAUUGACGGUAUUUAACCAGAAAGCCACGGCUAACUACGUGCCAGCAGCCGCGGUAAUACGUAGGUGGCAAGCGUUGUCCGGAUUUAUUGGGCGUAAAGCGAGCGCAGGCGGUUUUUUAAGUCUGAUGUGAAAGCCUUCGGCUCAACCGAAGAAGUGCAUCGGAAACUGGGAAACUUGAGUGCAGAAGAGGACAGUGGAACUCCAUGUGUAGCGGUGAAAUGCGUAGAUAUAUGGAAGAACACCAGUGGCGAAGGCGGCUGUCUGGUCUGUAACUGACGCUGAGGCUCGAAAGUAUGGGUAGCAAACAGGAUUAGAUACCCUGGUAGUCCAUACCGUAAACGAUGAAUGCUAAGUGUUGGAGGGUUUCCGCCCUUCAGUGCUGCAGCUAACGCAUUAAGCAUUCCGCCUGGGGAGUACGGCCGCAAGGCUGAAACUCAAAGGAAUUGACGGGGGCCCGCACAAGCGGUGGAGCAUGUGGUUUAAUUCGAAGCUACGCGAAGAACCUUACCAGGUCUUGACAUACUAUGCAAAUCUAAGAGAUUAGACGUUCCCUUCGGGGACAUGGAUACAGGUGGUGCAUGGUUGUCGUCAGCUCGUGUCGUGAGAUGUUGGGUUAAGUCCCGCAACGAGCGCAACCCUUAUUAUCAGUUGCCAGCAUUAAGUUGGGCACUCUGGUGAGACUGCCGGUGACAAACCGGAGGAAGGUGGGGAUGACGUCAAAUCAUCAUGCCCCUUAUGACCUGGGCUACACACGUGCUACAAUGGAUGGUACAACGAGUUGCGAACUCGCGAGAGUAAGCUAAUCUCUUAAAGCCAUUCUCAGUUCGGAUUGUAGGCUGCAACUCGCCUACAUGAAGUCGGAAUCGCUAGUAAUCGCGGAUCAGCAUGCCGCGGUGAAUACGUUCCCGGGCCUUGUACACACCGCCCGUCACACCAUGAGAGUUUGUAACA
This 1385-nucleotide ribosomal RNA is filed under the name Lactiplantibacillus plantarum. RNAcentral's name for it is "bacterial SSU rRNA". It matches the Rfam family "Bacterial small subunit ribosomal RNA", at positions 59 to 1419 of the family's 1533-position model. Lineage: Bacteria; Bacillati; Bacillota; Bacilli; Lactobacillales; Lactobacillaceae. The record is from RNAcentral.